GAUGAACGCUGGCGGCGUGCCUAACACAUGCAAGUCGAGCGAUUCUCUUCGGAGAAGAGCGGCGGACGGGUGAGUAACGCGUGGGUAACCUGCCCUGUACACACGGAUAACAUACCGAAAGGCAUGCUAAUACGAGAUAAUAUGCUUUUAUCGCAUGGUAGAAGUAUCAAAGCUCCGGCGGUACAGGAUGGACCCGCGUCUGAUUAGCUAGUUGGUAAGGUAACGGCUUACCAAGGCGACGAUCAGUAGCCGACCUGAGAGGGUGAUCGGCCACAUUGGAACUUAGACACGGUCCAAGCUCCGACGGGAGGCAGCAGUGGGGAAUAUUGCACAAUGGGCGAAAGCCUGAUGCAGCAACGCCGCGUGAGCGAUGAAGGCCUUCGGGUCGUAAAGCUCUGUCCUCAAGGAAGAUAAUGACGGUACUUGAGGAGGAAGCCCCGGCUAACUACGUGCCAGCCGCCGCCGUAA
RNAcentral lists this ribosomal RNA (468 nucleotides) under uncultured bacterium. RNAcentral describes it as "partial 16S ribosomal RNA". It matches the Rfam family "Bacterial small subunit ribosomal RNA", at positions 28 to 523 of the family's 1533-position model. The record is from RNAcentral.